AUGAUCACACAUAUACCGAUUGGGAAAGCACAGGAUGAUUUCUGGGCAUGGUCCCUGGAUCGAUUUGGGAAUUUCUCAGUGCGUUCAGCAUACAAGCUGAUGGUCGCGUUACGGCGUGAUACAGUUUCAGCAUCAAGCUCAGAGGGGCAGGAGAGGGGGUUCUGGAGGAAACUGUGGCGACUCCCAGUACCGCUGAAGGUAAGAAAUUUUUGGUGGAGGGUGAUCAAAGGGUAUGUCCCAACUCAAGCUGUUCUCUGCGGGAGACAUAUUGAGCGAAUAGCAUUCUGUGAAGCUUGUGGCCAAGAGGAAAGCAUCCGCCAUGCCUUGUUUGACUGUACUUGGGCAAAAUUAUUCUGGCAGGAGGUCAAGCAAGCUACGUCAGUUAAGAUACCAGUGUUAAGUCAUGAAACAUGGGCUGUGGAUAUGGUGGAUCAUGACAAGGUUAAGCAGUCAGAUGCAUGUGUAAUUCUAUGUGGUGCCUGGGCUGUCUGGACAGAAAGAAAUGCACGCACACACGGUGAGACCACAAGAUCCUUGAUGCAAUCAGCUAAAAGGACAACAGAUGUUGCUGCUGAUCUAGCGGCGACUGGAAAAAAGAUGACAACAGUCGCCAAUAAGGAGGUACAGAGAUGGAAGCCGCCGGACCAAGCCACCCUCAAGAUAAAUGUAGAUGGCUCGUUUCAAGAGGACUCCCAUCAGGGAGGCACAUGA
Molecule: ribosomal RNA, 711 nt
Filed under: Triticum aestivum (bread wheat)
Lineage: Eukaryota; Viridiplantae; Streptophyta; Magnoliopsida; Poales; Poaceae
Description: partial small subunit ribosomal RNA
Source: RNAcentral